AUUCCAGCUCCAAUAGCGUAUAUUUAAGUUGUUGCAGUUAAAAAGCUCGUAGUUGGAUUUCGGGCGGGGUUGGCCGGUCCGCCGUUUCGGUGUGCACUGGCUGGUUUCGUCUUAUUGUCGAGGACGCGCUUCUGGCCUUUACUGGUCGGGACGCGGAGUCGGCGCAGUUACUUUGAAAAAAUUAGAGUGUUCAAAGCGGGCAUACGCUUGAAUAUAUUAGCAUGGAAUAACACUAUAGGACUUCUGUCCUAUUUUGUUGGUCUUCGGAACGGGAGUAAUGAUUAAUAGGGAUAGUUGGGGGCAUUAGUAUUUAUUAGCUAGAGGUGGAAUUCUCUAAUUUGAUAAAGACUAACUUAUGCGAAAGCAUUUGCCAAGGAUGUUUUCAUCG
This 388-nucleotide ribosomal RNA is filed under the name Crustomastigaceae sp. Its description in RNAcentral is "partial small subunit ribosomal RNA". It matches the Rfam family "Eukaryotic small subunit ribosomal RNA", at positions 582 to 975 of the family's 1831-position model. The record is from RNAcentral. Lineage: Eukaryota; Viridiplantae; Chlorophyta; Mamiellophyceae; Dolichomastigales; Crustomastigaceae.